RNAcentral lists this long non-coding RNA (534 nucleotides) under Capra hircus (goat). RNAcentral's name for it is "lncRNA (ENSCHIG00000004416.1)". The record is from RNAcentral. Lineage: Eukaryota; Metazoa; Chordata; Mammalia; Artiodactyla; Bovidae.
GUUUGUUCUCAGGAUGACACCAGCUCUGUGAUGAUCUUGUUAAUAAUAAAGAAAAAAAAGGGGGGAGGAUAAUGAUUAGAGAUAUAAAAUUAUAGAAAUUGAACUGAACCUCUGUAACUGAACCAAGCAAACUCCAGGAGUUGCUGAUGGACAGAGAAGCCUGGUGUGGUGUAGUUCACAAGAUUGUAAAGAGUCAGACGUGGCUGAACGACUGAACUGAACUGAACUCUAUAGCUGAAGUGAAAGCUCCAGGACAUGCAUGAUCUUUGUUUUCCGACGAUGCGUGGAACCCAACAUUCUGCAUUUUGGAAGGUGGAGUCUUAACCGCUGGACCGCCAAGACAGUCCCUGCAUCAGUAUUGUUGAAUUUCAAGUCAAGACUCAUGUCCUGGCUUCGUGUGUGUACCAUGCUGGUGUGGUCUCCUAGUCAAACUGGAUUCUGUAAGUAUUGGGGGUUUGUGCAUUAUAGCCACGAGUUCAUCUUCCAUCUGCAUUGUCUUCCUGCAACUUAAACUUCUCAGAUUUCAGCUCAUCU